UUCAUUAAAUUUUUCUUCAAUUUAUUAAUUUUUUUAAACUUUGACUCCGGGUCUUUAUUCAACAUAUCUGGUCUCAAGGGUCCUAAACUGUUUAUCCCCAACAAUUUUAUGGUGGAGAAUGCGGGCAAUCAUUCUUCGGUGGCAUCCCUGGCUAAACAACAAACAAGGUAGGAAGCUGUUUUAUUAUUUGGUUAGGGCUGUCUGAGUGGAAGAGAUUGGGGCAGGAGAGCGGCAGAGCUUCACUCAGACGUGAGUGAGGAGUACCAUAGAACCGGAUUUGGAGGCCGGGGAGGUACACUAAUUAUACUAGCUUUAUGAUAUUGAUGAUCAUUGAAUUUGGUAGUAUAAGAAGUCGCUGAAGCCACGUGACGGCAGGCAGCGCAUCGGACGCACUCCAAUACAGGGACACAAAGUGAUUAAAACACUGCGUGGCGUACAGAGGUACCCCUACAGGGAGUGUAAGGCACUGGAUUUAGAAGCUCCAGUGGCACCGUGAACCUAACUCUGUCUCUUCCACAUCAGAUAGGGGUACCCCGAACUUAGUGAUUCAAACAGUUAAUAAAACCAUUAGUUAAUUACAAAAUAAAAAUUAAAUAGAGAUAGGGUUUCUUGUUUGCCUGGGAUGCAUCUAGAACGAUUCCGAGAAAAGUAAAAAAAUAUUUUUGUGACCCUAAUUGGAUUGGCACAGUAUGUAACUGUGAUUUUGGAGUAUACUUUGCAGUUUCAUCAAGCAGAAGCCAAAGCUGUGUUGUUUAAAGAUCGCCGCCUCCAUCUCUUUCAGCUGUUGUCAUGCCGGUGAAAGUUCAAUAUCAUGGUGCAUUCCAAGAUUUUCUAAAUGAAGUCACACACAAGAUCCUCGACCUCCAGCACAUGUACGCAUUCUUUGUCUGACCAUCAGCAGCGCAAAACCAGCAAACAAAGGCCAGUGACAGAUUUGGCAUAGAUGUGAUGGCAAACAGAUUGUCCAUGACGCCCUGAAAAAAUAAUCCAGUGACGAGAAAGAAGACUACGAUAAGACAGACUUUUGCACUUCCAUAAGUCCUGCACCAGUAUUGAAGGCCAUCUCAGUCGGAGGGAGGACCACCAGCCAUUCCUACUGGUAUUGAGAAGGAUCAAGGCCAGGACUGACAAAUUCUUAGUGGUUGAAGAAGCACCUCAUCUCUUCUGAAGGAACCAGCUCCUUGAGUGCUAUCGAACUUUAAGUCUACUGUUUCUACCUGCUAUGUAGGUCCUUUUAUCUUUAUCUACCCGCUACACUCAACAACACUACUGUUGGUCUUACCAGUGAGUCUCCCAAAGUAAAGGAAUUGCAUGGGAAGCAUUGACAAACUUUUGACAAAUUUUUUUUCGGAGCAUCAUGUAUUUAAAGUACAGAUAUUGGAAGUAGAGAGUAUGUUUAACCGCUAACAUUUUGAAGUUUUACAGGUCUUUUGACCUGCAGAGUUCACAUGGGUGAAUUUGAUGAUGAAUUUGUUUCAACUGUUAUGUCUAAGACGUGUCAUUGUUGAAAAUAAACGUUCAAACUGA
This is a long non-coding RNA of Megalobrama amblycephala (Wuchang bream), 1527 nucleotides long. RefSeq lists it as uncharacterized. The record is from RefSeq and is a predicted model, not a curated record. Lineage: Eukaryota; Metazoa; Chordata; Actinopteri; Cypriniformes; Xenocyprididae. The transcript has 5 exons.